AGAGUUUGAUCCUGGCUCAGGAUGAACGCUAGCGGCAGGCCUAAUACAUGCAAGUCGAACGGUAAGAUCUCGCUUGCGAGAUACACGAGUGGCGCACGGGUGCGUAACGCGUAUGCAACCUACCUUCAACUGGGGAAUAGCCCCGAGAAAUCGGGAUUAAUACCCCAUAACGUCCAACCUUCGCAUGUUGGUUGGAUUAAAGUCCCGGCGGUUGAAGAUGGGCAUGCGUGACAUUAGUUUGUUGGUGAGGUAACGGCUCACCAAGACUACGAUGUCUAGGGGUUCUGAGAGGAUUUUCCCCCACACUGGUACUGAGACACGGACCAGACUCCUACGGGAGGCAGCAGUAAGGAAUAUUGGUCAAUGGACGAAAGUCUGAACCAGCCAUGCCGCGUGCAGGAUGACAGCCCUACGGGUUGUAAACUGCUUUUACACGGGAAGAAUCCCCUGUACGUGUACAGGGUUGACGGUACCGUAUGAAUAAGCAUCGGCUAACUCCGUGCCAGCAGCCGCGGUAAUACGGAGGAUGCAAGCGUUAUCCGGAUUCAUUGGGUUUAAAGGGUGCGUAGGCGGAAUGAUAAGUUAGUGGUGAAAUACCCCGGCUCAACCGGGGAACUGCCAUUAAUACUGUCAUUCUUGAGUAUAGUUGAAGUGGGCGGAAUGUAUCAUGUAGCGGUGAAAUGCUUAGAUAUGAUACAGAACACCGAUAGCGUAGGCAGCUUGCUAAGCUAUAACUGACGCUCAGGCACGAAAGCGUGGGGAGCAAACAGGAUUAGAUACCCUGGUAGUCCACGCUGUAAACGAUGAUCACUCGCUGUUGGCGAUACACAGUCAGCGGCUGAGGGAAACCAUUAA
Molecule: ribosomal RNA, 855 nt
Filed under: uncultured bacterium
Lineage: Bacteria
Description: bacterial SSU rRNA
Rfam family: Bacterial small subunit ribosomal RNA
Source: RNAcentral